Molecule: ribosomal RNA, 1254 nt
Filed under: Klebsiella pneumoniae CHS 52
Lineage: Bacteria; Pseudomonadati; Pseudomonadota; Gammaproteobacteria; Enterobacterales; Enterobacteriaceae
Description: bacterial SSU rRNA
Rfam family: Bacterial small subunit ribosomal RNA
Source: RNAcentral
AGAGUUUGAUCAUGGCUCAGAUUGAACGCUGGCGGCAGGCCUAACACAUGCAAGUCGAGCGGUAGCACAGAGAGCUUGCUCUCGGGUGACGAGCGGCGGACGGGUGAGUAAUGUCUGGGAAACUGCCUGAUGGAGGGGGAUAACUACUGGAAACGGUAGCUAAUACCGCAUAACGUCGCAAGACCAAAGUGGGGGACCUUCGGGCCUCAUGCCAUCAGAUGUGCCCAGAUGGGAUUAGCUAGUAGGUGGGGUAACGGCUCACCUAGGCGACGAUCCCUAGCUGGUCUGAGAGGAUGACCAGCCACACUGGAACUGAGACACGGUCCAGACUCCUACGGGAGGCAGCAGUGGGGAAUAUUGCACAAUGGGCGCAAGCCUGAUGCAGCCAUGCCGCGUGUGUGAAGAAGGCCUUCGGGUUGUAAAGCACUUUCAGCGGGGAGGAAGGCGAUAAGGUUAAUAACCUUGUCGAUUGACGUUACCCGCAGAAGAAGCACCGGCUAACUCCGUGCCAGCAGCCGCGGUAAUACGGAGGGUGCAAGCGUUAAUCGGAAUUACUGGGCGUAAAGCGCACGCAGGCGGUCUGUCAAGUCGGAUGUGAAAUCCCCGGGCUCAACCUGGGAACUGCAUUCGAAACUGGCAGGCUAGAGUCUUGUAGAGGGGGGUAGAAUUCCAGGUGUAGCGGUGAAAUGCGUAGAGAUCUGGAGGAAUACCGGUGGCGAAGGCGGCCCCCUGGACAAAGACUGACGCUCAGGUGCGAAAGCGUGGGGAGCAAACAGGAUUAGAUACCCUGGUAGUCCACGCCGUAAACGAUGUCGAUUUGGAGGUUGUGCCCUUGAGGCGUGGCUUCCGGAGCUAACGCGUUAAAUCGACCGCCUGGGGAGUACGGCCGCAAGGUUAAAACUCAAAUGAAUUGACGGGGGCCCGCACAAGCGGUGGAGCAUGUGGUUUAAUUCGAUGCAACGCGAAGAACCUUACCUGGUCUUGACAUCCACAGAACUUUCCAGAGAUGGAUUGGUGCCUUCGGGAACUGUGAGACAGGUGCUGCAUGGCUGUCGUCAGCUCGUGUUGUGAAAUGUUGGGUUAAGUCCCGCAACGAGCGCAACCCUUAUCCUUUGUUGCCAGCGGUCCGGCCGGGAACUCAAAGGAGACUGCCAGUGAUAAACUGGAGGAAGGUGGGGAUGACGUCAAGUCAUCAUGGCCCUUACGACCAGGGCUACACACGUGCUACAAUGGCAUAUACAAAGAGAAGCGACC